GGUGGCACACACCUUUAAUCCCAGCACUUGGGAGGUGGAGACAGGAAGUGAUAUGGCUGGGCAGAGAGAGGAAUAUAAGGCGGGAGGAGACAGGCACUCAGUCUCUUUCAGUCUGGGGAUUCCAAGAGGUAAGAAGUCUUUCUAGUGGCUGCUGCUCUGUUUCUCUGAUCCUUCAGCUUCCAUCCUGAUAUCUGACUCUGGGUUUUUAUUAUUAAGACUAAUUAGAAUUUAUGCUACAAAGAAAGAAUUAGAAUAACUUAGUAGAGACAUUAGUAGGAAUGGAAGGGCAGAUGGCGCUGGAACACAGAGAAGUCAAAAAAGGAGGAGAAAUGUCACACAAUUAAGUGAUUUGUUAUAGAUGAAGGGUGGGGUCCAUGAAUCUAGGGAUGAGAAGUCAAGUUUGGAGAAGCAGAGAGGCCAGUGUGAACGGCACUGCUUUCUCUGUCGGGAUCCACUAACCAAAGAGCGGUUUGUGUAUGGCAAAGACCUCAAGGUCCAUUAAAGACAGUGCCGGGUGGGAGAGAAAAAGCAAGGUCAAACUGUCAGGAAAGGGCAGGUAAGGUACUGGGGGUACGCCAGGUAAGGCACUGGGGGUACGCCAAGGGUAAUGCACACGUCCUGGGUUCGAUCCCCAGCAUAAUGAAUGAGUGUGGUCAGAGAGGAAAGCCAAGUGUGAGGAGGGAAGACAACCAGUGUUACCUCAAGUAACAGGUGACUCCAUCAUGUGCCUCCCUUCUUUUCAUUUAAAUGUGUUUGUCACUCAGAGUUCCCAUCACUGGGUGUCUCCCCUCCUCACACCCUUUGUUAACACACUUCCUGCUGGGGAUGCUGUGAAUGUGUUGCUCUGAUUGAUUGAUAAAUAAAAUGCUGAUUAGCCAGUAGCCAGGCAGGAAGUAUAGUGUAGGUGGGAUAAGCAGAGAGGAGAAUUCUGGAAAGAGGAAGGCUGAGUCAGGAGACGCUGCCAGCCGCUGCCAUAAGGAGCAGGAUGUAAAGUACCGGUAAGCCACGAGCCACGUGGCAAGGUAUAGAUUUAUAAAAAUGGGUUAAUUUAAGAUGUAAGAACUAGACAGCAAGAAGCCUGAGCCACAUGGCCAUUUUAGUUUAUAAGUAAUAUAAGCUUCUGAGUGAUUAUUUUAUAAGUGGGCUGCAGGUCUGUGGGGGCUUGGUGGGACCCAGAGAGAAACACUCCAGCUACAACUUUCUCUAGACCUCUGCUUCUUAGGCUGUGGGUCACCACCCAGCUGAAUGUGGGGGUCAUGAAGAAAAUGGCAAACGUAAGAAGUGUCUGAAUGUGGAAUGGUCAAGUUUUAGUUCAAAAUCAAACGCGUAAGGAACCCAAGGUGUUUCUCGUCAGCUUGCCCAGGCUGUACAUCAGGACUUCACUGAACCUUAGUGAACACAAGACACACACACUACACUGUGUAAGCCUUCAUGCCUCACACCAACCAAUAUUGCCUGCAUCACCUCAGCUUAGUUCAAGACUGCUGUGUGUUAUAAUCAGCACCACGACCGCACAAAGUUUUUGUUCAUUCAGAAAUUUAGUGAUUUAAUUGUGGAAAAUAGAAAGUUUUACUAUCUGCCUAUCAUCAUUCCUUAGCGCGUAAAUAUCAAAUUAGUGUAUCUUUGGGUUUUGUUGGGCUAGAAUAUUUUACUUUAAAAAUUGUUGUUUGAAGAAUAUGGGAGACGGCUUAGCUUAAAUAUUACUUGUCUUGCCAACACGAGGACUGAGUCCAAUUUCCAGAGCCCAAGUAAAAGAGCCAGACUGCACACCUGCACACACUCCCGUGCGUGCACACGCAAGUACAUGCUCGAAAUUUUUACUUCAAUUGGUGGCUUGCAUUUCAUAAAAGAAAUUGUUCAAUAAAUUUGGGUUAUGAUGGUAUUUCCAAUGAUUAUUUGAAAAGGUCCUAAACAUAUUCAUGACAUUUUAUUCUGUAUGUUUAUACAAAGAGGCAUUCACAGUAUUGACUAGAAGACUAAACUAAAAGGCGUGGGAGACACUCUACACCCCGCAGGGUGAAACAGUCAGCGAAGAUUCAAUUCCUAAUGUAAAAAUCUGAAAGUCAUUCAAGAAGCUGGAAGGGUUGGUUAGUGGUUAGUGUUCUUGCAGGAGGCCCAUGUUUCAUCCCUAGCACCCGCCUUGGUUGGCUCACAAGCACCUGUAGAUGCAGCUGCAGGAGAAUCCAAUGAUGCCUCUGGCCUCUGUUGGUACCUGCAUUCACAUGCAGCCACCCACACAGAGACAUGUACACAAAAUCCAAAAUAAAAUAAAUCUUUAAAAAUAUUAAAAUACAAGAGCUUUAAAAGUGCGUCCAUCUCAUUAAUAUGCAAACUUGGUUUUGUCUUUAACAAACAACAAAAUUACAUGUACACCAAAGGAUUGAUUUAAAAGAAAUGUGUUGCCAGUAAAUGUCUUAUUGUUACACCUAUUUUAUAUACCUAUAUACUCCGAGUUGCAUUAAGAUUCUUGGGCGAAAAGUGAUUGCGAGUGGAAAAUGAUUAAGAAGCCUGGCCCCACGUGACCUAACCAACACCCAGUCAAUCGCCUGAUCCCCAAGAACACUAUUGGUGAGAGAAGAGGCCAGCAGGGUCAUCACCACCUACAAGCAGCCUCCUGGUCACACCCCAUGGGCCCUGGACCAACGCCCAGCUGCCUCUGCAAGUCAUCAGUCCCUGACUUCAUCCCGGUUUACCUUGUAAAAGUGCAUCUCAAAAACAUCGUCCUGUUGUUUUCCUGCCAGCUGGGGAGAAGCUGCCAAAAGGCUUUCCAGAGAGCCACACCACACCAACUCGUGCUGCCUCAGAACAAAGGCUGCUCCAAAAGGCCUGCCUGGGAAGGGAGCGCCAGCAGACCUGAUAGAGAUACUACCUCAGAGACGAUUAUCGCCCCGGGGCAAAGCUCUGCUUACACUGAAGACAUACUUGACUCUCGCUUCUGUUCAGUCUUUUCUGCUGAACACUAAACUUGAAAGAGGACUCUUC
Long non-coding RNA from Peromyscus eremicus (cactus mouse), 2982 nucleotides. RefSeq lists it as uncharacterized. NCBI's taxonomy places the organism in Eukaryota, Metazoa, Chordata, Mammalia, Rodentia, Cricetidae. The transcript is spliced from 2 exons. The record is from RefSeq and is a predicted model, not a curated record.